GACGAACGCUGGCGGCGUGCUUAACACAUGCAAGUCGAACGGUAAGGCCCUUCGGGGUACACGAGUGGCGAACGGGUGAGUAACACGUGGGUGAUCUGCCCUGCACUUCGGGAUAAGCAUGGGAAACUGGGUCUAAUACCGGAUAGGACCACUGCCUGCAUGGGUGGUGGUGGAAAGCUUUUGCGGUGUGGGAUGGGCCCGCGGCCUAUCAGCUUGUUGGUGGGGUUAUGGCCUACCAAGGCGACGACGGGUAGCCGGCCUGAGAGGGUGACCGGCCACACUGGGACUGAGAUACGGCCCAGACUCCUACGGGAGGCAGCAGUGGGGAAUAUUGCACAAUGGGCGCAAGCCUGAUGCAGCGACGCCGCGUGAGGGAUGACGGCCUUCGGGUUGUAAACCUCUUUCAGCACCGACGAAGCGCAAGUGACGGUAGGUGCAGAAGAAGGACCGGCCAACUACGUGCCAGCCGCCGCAGUAA
RNAcentral lists this ribosomal RNA (478 nucleotides) under uncultured bacterium. RNAcentral describes it as "partial 16S ribosomal RNA". It matches the Rfam family "Bacterial small subunit ribosomal RNA", at positions 28 to 523 of the family's 1533-position model. The record is from RNAcentral.